AAGGUUUCCGUAGGUGAACCUGCGGAAGGAUCAUUGUCGAAACCUGCAAAGCAGACCCGCGAACACGUGUUUAAUCCCCGGGCGUCGAGCCGGGGCCGGACUUCGGUCCCUCCCCGUCGAGACGCCCUGCCUUCGGGCUAACGAACCCCGGCGCGGCACGCGCCAAGGAAAACUGGUGAUAAGCGUCGCGCCCCCGCUGCCCCGUUCGCGGGUGCCUGCGGGGGAUGAUCGGCCUAUCUUGAAAGUCAAAACGACUCUCGGCAACGGAUAUCUCGGCUCUCGCAUCGAUGAAGAACGUAGCGAAAUGCGAUACUUGGUGUGAAUUGCAGAAUCCCGUGAACCAUCGAGUCUUUGAACGCAAGUUGCGCCCGAAGCCAUUAGGCCGAGGGCACGUCUGCCUGGGCGUCACGCAUCGCGUCGCCCCCUCCCUCUCCGGGACGGGGCGGAGAGUGGCCUCCCGUGCGCAAGUGCGCGCGGCCGGCCCAAAUCUGAUCCCGCGUCGACGGAUGUCGCGACAAGUGGUGGUUGAACUCUCAACUCGCGUGCUGUCGCGACUGGCUCCUUCGAACGCUCGGGCAUCGUUUUGACCCAACGGCGCCUAAUCGCGCUUUCGACCGCGACCUCAGGUCAGGCGGGACUC
RNAcentral lists this ribosomal RNA (640 nucleotides) under Antirrhinum filipes. RNAcentral's name for it is "eukaryotic LSU rRNA". The stretch from base 253 to 408 matches the Rfam family "5.8S ribosomal RNA". Lineage: Eukaryota; Viridiplantae; Streptophyta; Magnoliopsida; Lamiales; Plantaginaceae. The record is from RNAcentral.